CCAGGCCCUACGGGGCGCAGCAGUUGCGAAAACUCCACAAUGCACGAAAGUGUGAUGGGGCUACCCCGAGUGCCGUCCGCUGAGGAUGGCUUUUCUCUUGCUGUAAGGAGGCAGAGAGAAUAAGGAGAGGGCAGCCUGGUGUCAGCCGCCGCGGUAAUACCAGCUCUCCGAGUGGUAGGGAUGAUUAUUGGGCUUAAAGCGUCCGUAGCCGGCUUGACAAGUCUUCUGUUAAAUCCAGCAACCCAAUUGUUGGACUGCGGGAGAUACUGUCAAGCUAGAGAACGGGAGAAGCCGACGGUACUCUCAGGGUAGGAGUGAAAUCCUAUAAUCCUGGGAGGACCACCAGUGGCGUAGGCUGUCGGCUAGAACGUGUCUGACGGUGAGGGACGAAAGCUUGGGGAGCGAACCGGAUUAGAUACCCGGGUAGUCCAAGCUGUAAACGAUGCGGGCUAGGUGUUGGGGUGGCUACGUGCCACUUCAGUGCCGCAGGGAAGCCGUUAAGCCCGCCGCCUGGGGAGUACGGUCGCAAGGCUGAAACUUAAAGGAAUUGGCGGGGGAGCACCACAAGGGGUGAAGCUUGCGGUUUAAUUGGAGUCAACGCCGGGAACCUUACCGGGGGCGACAGCAG
This 628-nucleotide ribosomal RNA is filed under the name uncultured crenarchaeote. RNAcentral's name for it is "bacterial SSU rRNA". It matches the Rfam family "Archaeal small subunit ribosomal RNA", at positions 316 to 945 of the family's 1478-position model. Lineage: Archaea; Thermoproteati; Thermoproteota. The record is from RNAcentral.